Molecule: long non-coding RNA, 830 nt
Organism: Panicum hallii
Lineage: Eukaryota; Viridiplantae; Streptophyta; Magnoliopsida; Poales; Poaceae
Exons: 6
Source: RefSeq, a predicted model, not a curated record
CGUUGGUAGUCCAGUUUUUAGCGUCCGCCCGGCUGGACAGCCGUGGCUUCCUCCCUGAGGCAAGGCCGUAGCUCUCCCCCUUGGCGAUCAGGCAAGCCUCGCGGCUGGAUCUGGCGAGUGCAAAAAUAAAAGGGCUCAAGCCGUAGACGCAUUGAAGGUCACGUCUCGACCAGACGGCGGCAGAGAUUCAUGCACUUUUAGAUGGAUCAGGUGCAGCAAGGAAUCAGGGGACUUGCUAGGUGUUCGGUUCCAGAUCGGCGUCAAUAGGCAAGGCAGGAGGCACACGCGCACUGCAAUCGCGGUCUGCGCCAGCCAUCGUCAUUCAUCAUCGUGUUUGACUUGAACCGCUACUGAUCCAAUCAGGAAGCUACUGGGCAUCAGGCUACAACAAAAUCGAUUUCCUCUAACUGGGUCCAGUACAAUGGAUGGUUGUUCCCCUCUUGGUGACGUCACAAACACUUGCAACCGUCGCAAGCGACAAAACCCCGAAGGGUCUAAUAUUCAAGAUAACAAUCAUGGUGUUAUCGCCGGAGAAGAUCUUGAUAAGAGGGAACUUAAACGCAGAAGAAGGCAAGGGAGAAAUAUGCAAGCUUACUAGCUGAAAAAAAAGGCAUAACUUAAUGCUAAGAGGAGGAAAAGCUACCAUCGGAAGAAAGCCGAGAGAGCAGUUGCUAACACCAUUAUAGGAUCUCCAGGUGUGACGUCCUUGCUGAACCAAACAGGUACAAACAAUGUUAUUUUUCGAAAAGAAUGAGAUGGUGAGCAAUGGAACGACGGAUGAUUUUGAUAAUAGUUGGCUGCGUCGUAACAUUCUUUUGAAAGGAUACAGA